AUUACACUACACGCAGGCUUGACAUUUAAUUUAUACCGUGUCCUUGUCCAUAUGUGAAGUAAAAGCUAAGAUUUAAAUGUUCCUCAACAUACCUACAGUUAAAGGGGAAGUGAUGAUCAUAACUGUCAGUGAAGCCCAUAAAAAUGUUCAUAAAAGCAAAAAAAAAAAAAAAAAAACCACUGAGUUAUUAACAUACUCAUUAAGUAAGAAUUGAGUCUGGGGGUCGAACAAGUGUGAAGAGUGAGGCAAUUACAUUUUUGCAUAUAAAGUCUGUCCCUGAUUUUCAGUUUAUUAGAACCAAGAUCAUCAGUGCUUUUUUCGGAUAGCUCUCCGCCUCUGAAAUGAGCACUCUGUGUCCAAUUAGCUGCUCACCAACUAAAUUCACAAAAUCAGAAAUGUACUAAAUAAGAUGCCUGGAUUGAAACACAAUGCCCAAAAUAACGUGUUCGUGUGUGAUUUGGGAUGUUGUAAGAAAAAAAUGGUGCACUUAAAACUCCCACUCUUCUUCUUCCCAUAGAGUGGUUUUUAGUGCUUACCGUCCUGCUAAAUCCAUUAAAAAUACACUUUACAAAAGUCCUCCUUCAGUCAUGUAAUUGCUUGCAAUGAACAAAUGCUGACCUGAACAACCUUCUGAAGAUCAGGGACUAGUGAACUUUCUCAGACCCUGAAAUUGUCAGAAGGUUUCUUUUAAGCUCACUCUUAGAUAAACAUAUAAAAUUUGACCUUUCAAAUAGCACAAGAAUGUGUGCCAAGAAGCAUUAAUGGGGGGGGGGGGGGAUGGUUAAUGUUUCCUAUAACCUGUAAUAUAAAUGAGGAUAGACAUAAAUAAUGUAAAAGGUGAUGGGCUAAUUCAUUACAUGGGCUAUAUCUUAGUAGCACGAUUGCAACUAAUAUACUAAUUAAUGAACAGUCACACAGAUCUUCGAUGUCUGAAAGUAACAAAAAUAUCCUUAAAAAUGAGAUAUCGCUCAAACACACAAAGCUUAUUAAAAAUGACACUAGCAAUAAGUUUGCAAUAUAAUAUAAGGAGAAAAACUUACCAGAGGACAUUUCAGGAAGCAAGAUGACCGUGAGAAAAAUAUAUCCAGGAUUCAAACAGAUAUUCCAUGAUCUUCCAAAUCAAGGUAGUGAUGAGCUGCAGGGUGGUGGAACUUUGAAAAAAAUCAGCAGUUCCUGGUGGCGUGUAACCAACUAAAAAGCAGCUACACAGAAAGCCACGAACCCCCCCACCCCCACCCAAGGAAAAGAAACAAAAUGUGAAAAGAGGUGCCUUUUAUUGGGGAGGGUGGGACGAGGGGGGGCUUAUUUGUAAUGAUCCUUAGGCAGACAAAGUGAACAUUUACUGACUGUCCAUGCCCAUACAGUGGGAGAAAAUAGAAGCCGUGUGACCCCAGAGAACAGGAGGUGAAAUACAGAUAAAUCUGCAAAGAGAAGUAAAAGGAUGUGUUGAAGACAAGAGAUAAAGAGAGAACUAGUGAGCGAGGCUGUAGUCAUCGUGAUAGAUACAGCAGCAGGAAUGAUUUAGGCUGCUGGGAAGGAUCCAAUGAGAAUUCAAGAGGGCACUGCUUCGGAAAUCCUGCUCCCUUCUCCCCACUCGCAGUUCAAGAGUCACCUGCGUUGAGAACAUUCUGAUUAGGAUUAAUAGUAUUCCAUCAGUGCAUUUCACUAGGAUUUCCCUUGAACUCUCACUCGCAGCAACUGAGGGAGGCGCAGUAAGGAAGCCCAUACGACCCCCCGCCCCCCGACACACACACCCCACCACCCCCAAAUAAGCCACUGUGGUCACUUUAGGAUGAGCAGACCAGCAGCGAUUUGCACUGGGGGUGGAGACCGGAGGGCCGAAGAGGGGCCGAGGCCGCGUCGCCGGGCGCUUUCGGGGGCGCAGCGCGGAGGCUUAGGCUGGGGGGCCCGGCGCCCGCCCGGGUGAUGGGCUGCGGCGGCGGCAGGAGCCUCCCGGAGCCCGGCUUCCCGCAGAAUUCUGCAGCCCGCGCCUCGAGGCCAUCACUUCCCCCCCGAGAGCUCAGCUCCCAACGCCUUGCUUUAGAAGCUGGAGCUCUGGGGGACCUGGGGACCGUCCCCGGGGGAGCGGCGGCCGCGUCCCCCCGCGCUCCUGCACGGUCACCCGGGGAGAGAACCAGAAAAGGCUUUGCUGCCGAAUGCAUUCCCUUGUCGUGUUCGUGUCCCGACACGGCACACGCGAUCGCCUGAUGGAUCGGGAGGGAAAGGCAGAGUGGAAAUUGAUUUCUUGCAGAGACUGAGGCGCCGAAUGAUGGAAUAAACAUUUGCCCUGGAUAAAAAUGUUCUUGGCUGUGUUCCAACCCUAAUAAGGACCUACAGCAGAAGUUUUUCUUCAGUCAUCUAAUGUUACCCAAAAGAUUACUUGUGUGUUAUAUCUCUUUUUACACAGGCUGACAAAUGUUGGUAGGGGGAUCUGAGAUCCACACAAGGAGGAUGAAUGCCCUGAAUUACAUUUGUUACAAAUUCAACCUUAACAAUUGUGAUAUACAGAUAUACAAUCUUCCUAAGCUGCCUAAACCUACUUACCUAAAUUACUAUUCAAAGAAAUACAGUUAUUUGUUGAAGACCCAACCUAAGUUAGAAAAUGUAACAUUCGUGAAAUAAAUGUAAGGUUGUUGUUCUUUUAAAUAUUUGAAGAAUAAAAAGCUCAGGAUGAUACUGACUUUGUGACCCAUGGUUCCCUAACUUUAACAUAUUUUAUAGCACUUAAAAUUUGUUAAACUCUGUAAGUAUCUGAGCAUUAUAUUAAAUCAUAUGAUAAAAUUUGAUGAACCUCAAAAUAGAACCAUAGGUUUUUAUAUCUCUUAGUUAGCUCCUACCUGGUUUGUACUUAGACCCAUCUCAAAAAUUACACAUUUCAUUUUA
Molecule: long non-coding RNA, 2883 nt
Organism: Canis lupus familiaris (dog)
Lineage: Eukaryota; Metazoa; Chordata; Mammalia; Carnivora; Canidae
Exons: 3
Source: RefSeq, a predicted model, not a curated record